RNAcentral lists this transfer RNA (72 nucleotides) under Phakopsora pachyrhizi. RNAcentral's name for it is "tRNA-OTHER". It matches the Rfam family "tRNA". Rfam says of the family: Transfer RNA (tRNA) molecules are approximately 80 nucleotides in length. Their secondary structure includes four short double-helical elements and three loops (D, anti-codon, and T loops). Lineage: Eukaryota; Fungi; Basidiomycota; Pucciniomycetes; Pucciniales; Phakopsoraceae. The record is from RNAcentral.
GGCAUGAGAGCUCAAUGGUUAGAGCAUGCAUCAUGAACGGCAUAGCUCUGGGUUCAAUUCCUAGUCAAGCCA